Molecule: long non-coding RNA, 1222 nt
Organism: Aphis gossypii (cotton aphid)
Lineage: Eukaryota; Metazoa; Arthropoda; Insecta; Hemiptera; Aphididae
Exons: 5
Source: RefSeq, a predicted model, not a curated record
UUUUUUAAGAUACUAAAGAUUGUUCUAUUAAAGCAUGUGAUGAUUUUAAAUCAAUAUUAAGUGAUCAACGAAGACUUAAUUUAAAACUAAAACUAUAUUAUUCUAUAAUAUGGUAUGUGAUCUUAACAUAUGUUGUACUGUCUUCAUGCUCAAUCAUAACAUUAACUUAUUCGUUUAUUAUGACAUGCAUUUCGUCGACCAAAUCGUUACCAGUUCUCAGCAUAAUUAAAAUCAUAGCACCAUUUUCAAUAGUUUCAUUUCAAAUAUUUUUACAUUGCUAUUUUUUUGGACUUAUAAACUUUAAAAAAGCAUCCGUCAGUUAUGGAAUGUAUUCUUGUAAUUGGACAUCGAUGGAUUUAAAAUUUAAAAAGUUAUUACUUUUAUCAAUGCAGAUGAAUGAUGCUGACAAAUUAAUGAUUAAAGCUACACCAACUAGAAUUAUUAAUUUAGAACUUUUCGUUAAGGUGAUGAUAACAACCUACAACAUAGUGUCUGUAAUGCUGAAUACAUUUAAUUCGAGAACGUAAUUCAAGCAACAAUAAAAAAGAGCACUUUAAAGUCUUUGCUCAGUUAAUUGUAGUUAUUUUUGAGUUAUAAUAUAUAUGUAGACUGUAUGAAAAUGUAUUUCUGAUUGACAAUUAGGAGUUACUUUCAUAUUAGAGUUUUUUGUAAGUGUUUCUGACGUGCUAAUUGAACUAUCUCAGACCGGGUUGAGUUUCUGAUAGAAGAUUAUUGAUAAUCAUUCAUUCUUUUUUUUUGUUCACCUAAUGCUACCCAUUCACAAACGAAUUACAAAACAAUUUGAAGUAAAAGUUAGGUAUAUUUUAUUUUAAAAUAUAAAUAAGUGAUCACUAAGACUACGAUUUUCUAGAAGUUAUUAUUUAAUAUUGUCGAAAAUAUAGCUAAGUAAAUAGUAAUAUUUACAAAUAAUAGGAGUUUUUAUUUAAAAUUUGUAAUUGAAAAUUUGAAAAUUUUGCGUGUACAACUUUUUAAAAUUUUUAAGUGCAUAAUUAGCCAUUUUCUUAUAUAAAAUUAAUUUUAAAUAGAUUUCCUGGUCCUGAGAUAUUAGUUUGAUGGUUUUAUUUUAUCUAUAUUACAUAGUAGGUACAUUAAAAGUAUAAAUAAAACUAUAAAAUAUUUGUGUUUAAGCUUUCCUCACCGAUCACAUAAAUUGUAACUAAUCGAUACGUAAAAUAUAACUGUUUAUUGCUAGUGUUGCCAA